AUUGAACGCUGGCGGCAGGCCUAACACAUGCAAGUCGAGCGGUAGCACAGAGAGCUUGCUCUCGGGUGACGAGCGGCGGACGGGUGAGUAAUGUCUGGGAAACUGCCUGAUGGAGGGGGAUAACUACUGGAAACGGUAGCUAAUACCGCAUAACGUCGCAAGACCAAAGUGGGGGACCUUCGGGCCUCAUGCCAUCAGAUGUGCCCAGAUGGGAUUAGCUAGUAGGUGGGGUAAUGGCUCACCUAGGCGACGAUCCCUAGCUGGUCUGAGAGGAUGACCAGCCUCACUGGAACUGAGACACGGUCCAGACUCCUACGGGAGGCAGCAGUGGGGAAUAUUGCACAAUGGGCGCAAGCCUGAUGCAGCCAUGCCGCGUGUAUGAAGAAGGCCUUCGGGUUGUAAAGUACUUUCAGCGAGGAGGAAGGCGUUAAGGUUAAUAACCUUGGCGAUUGACGUUACUCGCAGAAGAAGCACCGGCUAACUCCGUGCCAGCAGCCGCGGUAAUACGGAGGGUGCAAGCGUUAAUCGGAAUUACUGGGCGUAAAGCGCACGCAGGCGGUUUGUUAAGUCAGAUGUGAAAUCCCCGGGCUCAACCUGGGAACUGCAUUUGAAUCUGGCAAGCUUGAGUCUUGUAGAGGGGGGUAGAAUUCCAGGUGUAGCGGUGAAAUGCGUAGAGAUCUGGAGGAAUACCGGUGGCGAAGGCGGCCCCCUGGACAAAGACUGACGCUCAGGUGCGAAAGCGU
RNAcentral lists this ribosomal RNA (743 nucleotides) under uncultured bacterium. RNAcentral describes it as "bacterial SSU rRNA". It matches the Rfam family "Bacterial small subunit ribosomal RNA", at positions 28 to 762 of the family's 1533-position model. The record is from RNAcentral.